AGCGAACGCUGGCGGCAGGCCUAACACAUGCAAGUCGAACGAACCUUUCGGGGUUAGUGGCGGACGGGUGAGUAACACGUGGGAACGUGCCUUUAGGUUCGGAAUAACUCAGGGAAACUUGUGCUAAUACCGAAUGUGCCCUUCGGGGGAAAGAUUGAUCGCCUUUAGAGCGGCCCGCGUCUGAUUAGCUAGUUGGUUGAGGUAAUGGCACACCAAGGCGACGAUCAGUAGCUGGUCUGAGAGGAUGAUCAGCCACAUUGGGACUGAGACACGGCCCAAACUCCUACGGGAAGCAGCAGUGGGGAAUCUUGCGCAAUGGGCGAAAGCCUGACGCAGCCAUGCCGCGUGAAUGAUGAAGGUCUUAGGAUUGUAAAAUUCUUUCACCGGGGACGAUAAUGACGGUACCCGGAGAAGAAGCCCCGGCUAACUUCGUG
RNAcentral lists this ribosomal RNA (434 nucleotides) under uncultured bacterium. RNAcentral's name for it is "partial 16S ribosomal RNA". It matches the Rfam family "Bacterial small subunit ribosomal RNA", at positions 29 to 507 of the family's 1533-position model. The record is from RNAcentral.